This is a long non-coding RNA of Rhincodon typus (whale shark), 565 nucleotides long. RefSeq lists it as uncharacterized. The record is from RefSeq and is a predicted model, not a curated record. The transcript has 3 exons. Lineage: Eukaryota; Metazoa; Chordata; Chondrichthyes; Orectolobiformes; Rhincodontidae.
GAGCUACCCCGUGGAUAUUUUAACCGGUGGAGACUGGGAAGAUUUAAAGCAAUCAUCAGAGGUUUACCUAUCAAGACUUCGCGACAGUGAGCAGGAAUCCACUGAGAGCUUUACUCUGCCCAAUGGAGAGAAGGUUGCUGUGACACUCUCCUCUCUGGCCUUUCUGCAGAUACACAGUGAACACUGGAUCCUGGGUCUGUCCAGCUCCCAGGCAGAUGCUGUCAGACCUGCUGAGCUUCUCCUGCAAUUUCUGUUUUUGUCGUAGUAGACUGGUUGGUCUCGUGAGAUUAUGUAUCUGGUCUGGGAAAGGCAUAGCAGAACAUUUCCUGAAGAAGAGAAACCAGGUGCUGGGGAAGAGCAAGGGGCUUUUGUAUCAGUGCAGACAGAGGACUAAAAGUCUGUACACAGGACAUCUAAAAGGACUUUAUUUUGAUCUGGUUACGAUUCAAAGGAACUGCUGCUUCAGAUGAACAGAACCUUAGCUGGGUUCCCCUGUACAAUACUGUAGGGAAAGAUAUAGAGGUCUGCACUGGAUGAAAUUAUUCUGCACAUCAAUAAGAUUUUG